UUCAGAGAAUGCUUAGAUGAUUGUGGCCUUGUUGAUUUAGGGUAUGUGGGAGAUAAAUUCGCAUGGAGAAGGGGAGAUAUAAGACAAUGACUUGAUCGGGCUGUAUGCAAUGAUGCAUGGAUGAACAAGUUCCCCCUCAUAGCGGUUGUUAAUGAGCAGCAUGUACAUUCUGACCAUAGACUGCUUGUGAUUGAUACUGAUUACUACGACGGGGAAUAA
RNAcentral lists this ribosomal RNA (219 nucleotides) under Triticum aestivum (bread wheat). RNAcentral's name for it is "partial small subunit ribosomal RNA". Lineage: Eukaryota; Viridiplantae; Streptophyta; Magnoliopsida; Poales; Poaceae. The record is from RNAcentral.